ACUUAUCUCUUAAAGUAUGAGAACCCUUGCCCACUUCUAACCACAUCUAAGCAUUGAUGUGGCGCAUUGCUUCUAGUAAAUGCCCUAGCUAAUUUUUACCCAUUUUUUAUGUAAGUUUCGAUGAAGUGCAUCAAUGAUAGAUAAUAAUGUAAUUGUAGUUUUGUGCUAGUCUUCAAUCUAGUAUAAUCCUCCUUUAUCUGGACCUA
This 206-nucleotide long non-coding RNA is filed under the name Elaeis guineensis (African oil palm). RNAcentral describes it as "long non-coding RNA (EGUI_LNC009071)". The record is from RNAcentral. Lineage: Eukaryota; Viridiplantae; Streptophyta; Magnoliopsida; Arecales; Arecaceae.